RNAcentral lists this ribosomal RNA (659 nucleotides) under uncultured marine eukaryote. Its description in RNAcentral is "SSU rRNA". It matches the Rfam family "Eukaryotic small subunit ribosomal RNA", at positions 617 to 1283 of the family's 1831-position model. The record is from RNAcentral.
GGUUAAAACGCUCGUAGUUGGGUAUUUGUUGAGAACUUCCGGUCUACCCUAGUGGUCAGCACACGGUCUGUUCUCGGCACUUUCCUGGGGAGAGUGUUUGCACUUCACUGUGUGGCACAUGAUCCAGAACUUUUACUUUGAGGAAAUGAGAGUGUUUCAAGCAGGCGCCUGUCAUGAAUACGUUAGCAUGGAAUAAUAGCAUGGGACCGCGGUCUGAAGCUGUUGGUUUUUGGGCCGUGGUAAUAAAAAUAUGGAUAGUUGGGGGUAUUCGUAUUUAACUGUCAGAGGUGAAAUUCUUGGAUUUUUUAAAGACGGACUACUGCGAAAGCAUCUGCCCAGGAUGUUUUUAUUGAUCAAAAACGAAAGUUAGGGGAUCGAAGACGAUCAGAUACCGUCCUAGUCUUAACCUUAAACCAUGCCGACUAGAGAUUUGGGUCGUCAGAAUCGUGACGCCCUGAGCACCUUAGGGGAAACCAAAGUCUUCGGGUUCCGGGGGGAGUAUGGUCGCAAGGCUGAAACUUAGAGGAAUUGACGGAAGGGCACCACCAGGAGUGGAGCCUGCGGCUUAAUUUGACUCAACACGGGAAAACUUACCAGGUCCGGACAUAGAGAGGAUUGACAGACUGAUAGCUCUUUCUUGAUUCUAUGGGUGGUGGUGC